UCCUUGGUGGCUCAGAGGUUAGAGCGUCUGCUUGGAAUGCGGGAGACCUGGGUUCGAUCCCUGGGUCAGGAA
Non-coding RNA from Bos taurus (domestic cattle), 72 nucleotides. NCBI's taxonomy places the organism in Eukaryota, Metazoa, Chordata, Mammalia, Artiodactyla, Bovidae. The record is from Rfam.